AGUGAACGCUGGCGGUAGGCCUAACACAUGCAAGUCGAACGGCAGCACAGUAAGAGCUUGCUCUUACGGGUGGCGAGUGGCGGACGGGUGAGGAAUACAUCGGAAUCUACUUUUUCGUGGGGGAUAACGUAGGGAAACUUACGCUAAUACCGCAUACGACCUACGGGUGAAAGCAGGGGAUCUUCGGACCUUGCGCGAUUGAAUGAGCCGAUGUCGGAUUAGCUAGUUGGCGGGGUAAAGGCCCGCCAAGGCGACGAUCCGUAGCUGGUCUGAGAGGAUGAUCAGCCACACUGGAACUGAGACACGGUCCAGACUCCUACGGGAGGCAGCAGUGGGGAAUAUUGGACAAUGGGCGCAAGCCUGAUCCAGCCAUACCGCGUGGGUGAAGAAGGCCUUCGGGUUGUAAAGCCCUUUUGUUGGGAAAGAAAAGCAGCAGAUUAAUACCCCGCUGUUCUGACGGUACCCAAAGAAUAAGCACCGGCUAACUUCGUG
Molecule: ribosomal RNA, 492 nt
Filed under: uncultured bacterium
Lineage: Bacteria
Description: partial 16S ribosomal RNA
Rfam family: Bacterial small subunit ribosomal RNA
Source: RNAcentral